UACGUAGGGGGCGAGCGUUGUCCGGAUUCAUUGGGCGUAAAGAGCUCGUAGGCGGCUUGGCAAGUCGGGUGUGAAGCCUCCAGGCUCAACCUGGAGACGCCACUCGAUACUGCCAUGGCUUGAGUCUGGUAGGGGAUCACGGAAUUCCUGGUGUAGCGGUGAAAUGCGCAGAUAUCAGGAGGAACACCGGUGGCGAAGGCGGGUCUCUGGGCAACAACUGACGCUGAGGAGCGAAAGCGUGGGGAGCGAACAGG
RNAcentral lists this ribosomal RNA (254 nucleotides) under uncultured bacterium. RNAcentral describes it as "partial 16S ribosomal RNA". It matches the Rfam family "Bacterial small subunit ribosomal RNA", at positions 524 to 776 of the family's 1533-position model. The record is from RNAcentral.